GACGAACGCUGGCGGCGUGCUUAACACAUGCAAGUCGAACGGAAAGGCCCUGCUUUUGUGGGGUGCUCGAGUGGCGAACGGGUGAGUAACACGUGAGUAACCUGCCCUUGACUUUGGGAUAACUUCAGGAAACUGGGGCUAAUACCGGAUAGGAGCUCCUGCUGCAUGGUGGGGGUUGGAAAGUUUCGGCGGUUGGGGAUGGACUCGCGGCUUAUCAGCUUGUUGGUGGGGUAGUGGCUUACCAAGGCUUUGCCGGGUAGCCGGCCUGAGAGGGUGACCGGCCACAUUGGGACUGAGAUGCGGCCCAGACUCCUACGGGAGGCAGCAGUGGGGAAUAUUGCACAAUGGGCGGAAGCCUGAUGCAGCAACGCCGCGUGCGGGAUGACGGCCUUCGGGUUGUAAACCGCUUUCGCCUGUGACGAAGCGUGAGUGACGGUAAUGGGUAAAGAAGCACCGGCUAACUACGUG
Molecule: ribosomal RNA, 468 nt
Filed under: uncultured bacterium
Lineage: Bacteria
Description: partial 16S ribosomal RNA
Rfam family: Bacterial small subunit ribosomal RNA
Source: RNAcentral